This 419-nucleotide ribosomal RNA is filed under the name bacterium. Its description in RNAcentral is "partial 16S ribosomal RNA". It matches the Rfam family "Bacterial small subunit ribosomal RNA", at positions 355 to 776 of the family's 1533-position model. The record is from RNAcentral.
UGGGGGAUAUUGCACAAUGGGCGAAAGCCUGAUGCAGCGACGCCGCGUGGGGGAUGAAGGCCUUCGGGUUGUAAACUUCUUUUGCUCUGAACAAGGCAUGCUAAUGGGUGUGUUGAGUGUAGGGGUUGAUUAGCGCCGGCUAACUACGUGCCAGCAGCCGCGGUAAUACGUAGGGCGCGAGCGUUGUCCGGAAUUAUUGGGCGUAAAGGGCUUGUAGGUGGCUGGUUGCGUCUGUCGUGAAAGCUCAUGGCUUAACUGGGGGUGUGCGGUGGGUACGAGAUGGCUUGAGUGCAGUAGGGGAGGCUGGAAUUCCUGGUGUAGCGGUGGAAUGCGAAGAUAUCAGGAGGAAUACCGGUGGCGAAGGCGGGUCUCUGGGCUGUUACUGACACUGAGGAGCGAAAGCAUGGGGAGCGAACAGG